This 515-nucleotide ribosomal RNA is filed under the name uncultured bacterium. RNAcentral's name for it is "partial 16S ribosomal RNA". It matches the Rfam family "Bacterial small subunit ribosomal RNA", at positions 28 to 523 of the family's 1533-position model. The record is from RNAcentral.
GAUGAACGCUGGCGGCGUGCCUAAUACAUGCAAGUCGAGCGAAUGGAUUAAGAGCUUGCUCUUAUGAGGUUAGCGGCGGACGGGUGAGUAACACGUGGGUAACCUGCCCAUAAGACUGGGAUAACUCCGGGAAACCGGGGCUAAUACCGGAUAACAUUUUGAACCGCAUGGUUCGAAAUUGAAAGGCGGCUUCGGCUGUCACUUAUGAAUGGACCCGCGCCGCAUUAGCUAGUUGGUGAGGUAACGGCUCACCAAGGCAACGAUGCGUAGCCGACCUGAGAGGGUGAUCGGCCACACUGGGACUGAGACACGGCCCAGACUCCUACGGGAGGCAGCAGUAGGGAAUCUUCCGCAAUGGACGAAAGUCUGACGGAGCAACGCCGCGUGAGUGAUGAAGGCUUUCGGGUCGUAAAACUCUGUUGUUAGGGAAGAACAAGUGCUAGUUGAAUAAGCUGACACCUUGACGGUACCUAACCAGAGAGCCACGGCUAACUACGUGCCAGCAGCCGCCGUAA